CAGCCUGAACUAACAACAGCAGAGAGUGAGGGAACCGAAGCAACCACUGUGCACUACCCAGAAGUUGUUACCCACAUAAGAGCAAAACUGACACAGCCUGUACAGCACCUUGUCACCCAGACACAGACCACCCCUGGCACAUCCACCAGCAGCACCUCUG
Molecule: non-coding RNA, 160 nt
Organism: Lonchura striata (white-rumped munia)
Lineage: Eukaryota; Metazoa; Chordata; Aves; Passeriformes; Estrildidae
Source: RefSeq, a predicted model, not a curated record